Molecule: non-coding RNA, 501 nt
Organism: Taeniopygia guttata (zebra finch)
Lineage: Eukaryota; Metazoa; Chordata; Aves; Passeriformes; Estrildidae
Source: RefSeq, a predicted model, not a curated record
AGGAAAAAGGAGGAAGAAGGGGAUGUUUGGAGUGAUGGUGUUCAUCUUCCCAAGCCACCAUUACAGGUCAUCCAGCACAACUUUCCUGGAGACUGCUGAACACCUGACUGCUCAUGGGAAGUGGGGAAUGAAUUCUUUGCACUGCUGAAAACAGAAGAUUGGGAAAGAAAAAGACAUAGUGAUAGAUAAGUUUGAUGCCCUGGAAAGAAGGAUCAACACUCUUCAGAGGAUGAAUGAAGAGUACAUGAUGCAGAUGCUGAUGUACUUUCACUUCUGACAUUCCUACCGAUAAGCAGCAUGCAAUACCAACCAGAAAAGUCACAAAAGAAAGAAACCCUAGAAGAAAGGAGUAAGCAACUUGUUUACUUGGAUCUUGAAAACCCCCAGGGAUGGUACAGCUACCAUGUCCCUGGGAAGGCUGUUCCUGAUUGAUAGUUUUCACUGUAAAAAAUUUCUUCUUGAAUUGGGAUGAAACCUCUCUCAAUGCAGCUUUUACCUGUA